CUGCAGUCAGACAGGCAGAUCUUGGUGCCUAGGCCCACGCAGCACUUACAUGGCGGCAACGAGGCAGAAAGUGUUUACAUACUGCGCAGAGGACAGAGUUUGGAGCUGCUGUAACUGAUGCCCAUCGGAGAAGAACACACAGUGCUAUCAUUUUUGAUCAGCUCUAAGCACCUGAGCAGAGAACUGCUGGGCCAGGCAUGAAUGAAGAACCUGCCCCAGAACUAGUAGCGCGUGCUAAACAAGCAAAU
Pelmatolapia mariae (spotted tilapia) is the source of this 248-nucleotide long non-coding RNA. RefSeq lists it as uncharacterized. Lineage: Eukaryota; Metazoa; Chordata; Actinopteri; Cichliformes; Cichlidae. The record is from RefSeq and is a predicted model, not a curated record. The transcript is spliced from 3 exons.